RNAcentral lists this ribosomal RNA (492 nucleotides) under uncultured bacterium. RNAcentral's name for it is "partial 16S ribosomal RNA". It matches the Rfam family "Bacterial small subunit ribosomal RNA", at positions 29 to 507 of the family's 1533-position model. The record is from RNAcentral.
AGUGAACGCUGGCGGUAGGCCUAACACAUGCAAGUCGAACGGCAGCACAGUAAGAGCUUGCUCUUACGGGUGGCGAGUGGCGGACGGGUGAGGAAUACAUCGGAAUCUACUUUUUCGUGGGGGAUAACGUAGGGAAACUUACGCUAAUACCGCAUACGACCUACGGGUGGAAGCAGGGGAUCUUCGGACCUUGCGCGAUUGAAUGAGCCGAUGUCGGAUUAGCUAGUUGGCGGGGUAAAGGCCCACCAAGGCGACGAUCCGUAGCUGGUCUGAGAGGAUGAUCAGCCACACUGGAACUGAGACACGGUCCAGACUCCUACGGGAGGCAGCAGUGGGGAAUAUUGGACAAUGGGCGCAAGCCUGAUCCAGCCAUACCGCGUGGGUGAAGAAGGCCUUCGGGUUGUAAAGCCCUUUUGUUGGGAAAGAAAAGCAGCAGGUUAAUACCCCGCUGUUCUGACGGUACCCAAAGAAUAAGCACCGGCUAACUUCGUA